Molecule: ribosomal RNA, 435 nt
Filed under: uncultured bacterium
Lineage: Bacteria
Description: partial 16S ribosomal RNA
Rfam family: Bacterial small subunit ribosomal RNA
Source: RNAcentral
AGCGAACGCUGGCGGCAGGCUUAACACAUGCAAGUCGAACGGGCAUCUUCGGAUGCCAGUGGCAGACGGGUGAGUAACACGUGGGAACGUACCCUUCGGUUCGGAAUAACUCAGGGAAACUUGAGCUAAUACCGGAUACGCCCUUUUGGGGAAAGGUUUACUGCCGAAGGAUCGGCCCGCGUCUGAUUAGCUUGUUGGUGGGGUAACGGCCUACCAAGGCGACGAUCAGUAGCUGGUCUGAGAGGAUGAUCAGCCACACUGGGACUGAGACACGGCCCAGACUCCUACGGGAGGCAGCAGUGGGGAAUAUUGGACAAUGGGCGCAAGCCUGAUCCAGCCAUGCCGCGUGAGUGAUGAAGGCCUUAGGGUUGUAAAGCUCUUUUGUCCGGGACGAUAAUGACGGUACCGGAAGAAUAAGCCCCGGCUAACUUCGUG